UUUCCAACCAAGUACAGUUCGGAUCCUGAAGUCAGGUCGCGUCUGCGUAACAUGUAAAAAAACCAAACAUGGUGGUAUGUCCAGGUGGAGCUCUGCCUGGAGAUUCAUUUUCAGUGCCCACAGUCUGAUUUCUGAUCUUCAUGGCUUGCCUGAAACUUGCUGCUUUCAUUCCCCAUCAUCAUGGUUGUCACAGAAAUGGAGAUACGUGGAGGAGAGAUGAAGUAGGAACGGUAGGAUGCGGCACCGAAGUAGAUAGAAGAGGAUUUGUCCAAUGGCAAAAGAAGCAUGUAGUUGGCAUUGCCAAAUGCAACAGCGGGAACGUAGUGGGUUUGAGGCGAACAAGAAAUUCCUUCAGAUGUGAGGUGGGUGGUGGAGUGGAGGAGACGAAGAAGACGAGGAUUCUGAUUGCGGGAGGUGGGAUUGCUGGCCUGGUUGUCGCAAUAGCGGCCAAGAAGAAAGGGUUCGAUGUGAAGGUGUUCGAGAGAGACAUGAGUGCUGUCAGGGGAGAGGGGAGACACAGAGGACCCAUUCAGCUGCAGAGUAACGCUCUAGCUGUCUUGGAAUCCAUUGAUGAGGAGGUGACGGAGAGGAUUAUGGACGCAAGCUGCAUAACCGGAAACAGGAUUAACGGCCUCGUAGAUGGCAUCUCCGGUUGCUGGUAUGUUAAGUAUGAUCUUUUUACUCCAGCUGCACAAAGAGGGCUUCCAGCAACACGUGUAAUAAGUCGGAUAGCUCUGCAAGACAUUUUAGUGCAUGCUGUUGGAUCUAAAAAUAUUUUUAACAACUGUAACGUUGUGGAUUUCAAAGAUGAAGCUCGUAAGGUCGCUGUAAUUCUUGAAGAUGGGAGAGAAUUUGAAGGUGAUGUCUUGGUUGGUGCUGAUGGAAUAUGGUCGAAGGUACGUGAAAAGCUAUUUGGCUGGCAAGAGGCAUCUUAUUCAAACUAUACAUGCUAUAGUGGAAUAGCUGAUUUUGUGCCACCAGAUAUCAAUAGUGUUGGGUACCGAGUGUUUCUAGGCCACAAGAAAUAUUUUGUUUCGUCAGAUGUUGGGCAUGGAAAGAUGCAAUGGUAUGCAUUCCAUCAUGAGCCAGCAGGAAAUAUAGACCCUCCAGCAGGCAAGAAGAAAAGGAUUUUGGAAUUAUUUGGGAAUUGGUGUCAUGAAGUAGUGGACCUGCUAUUGGCAACGCCAGAAUCUGUGAUCCUGCGGAGAGAUAUUUAUGAUAGAGACAUGAUUCAUAGUUGGAGCCAAGGUUGUGUGACACUAAUAGGUGAUGCCGCUCAUCCUAUGCAACCAAAUCUGGGCCAAGGUGGCUGCAUGGCAAUUGAAGAUAGUUAUCAGCUUGUUGUUGAGCUAGAAAAAGCAUCUAAGGUUAGAUGGAAGGAUGGAACAAAUGAUGAGAUAGCUUCUGCACUCCUGAGAUAUGAGAGGAAAAGAAUAUCUCGAGUUAGUGCAAUGCAUGCAAUGUCUCGAAUGGCAGCAAGAAUGGUCAGCAGCUACCAGCCUUAUUUAGCCAGACAACAGAGUUUAUGUCAAAGCCCUGGAUGAGACAACCACUCAUUGCAAUGGUACAACUUUUCAUUUCUUGCGGGAUGAAAAUGUUGACGUAUUGGAUUUUGACUGGAAGCAGUUCUGAGCUUGCAGACCAUGUGCGGAAAUGUAGACUCUCGGAUAAUCGAAGAACAUCCUGCAAAAUUGCUACGUGAGGAGAGGCAAAGUAAAAGCACAUGCUGGGAAAGUUUCUCAAGGAUGCACAUUAUACAUGAAGGGAGUAUUUAUUUGCUUUGGGAAUGUGGUUCAUGGAUAUGUGAUUUGAGACAGGCAGUCAGUAAGACAAUAGGUCUUAGACUGUUUGUCCAAUGCCAUUAUGUUCGAAGCGGACAUGAGGUCUCAGACUGCCUAUUAUUGUUGGUUUUGAUUGAUAGAGAAGAGGGAAAUAAGAACUACAUGAAAUGUAAGGGCAUGCAUCCUUCGCAUAUUAACCAAAAUUCCGCUAUGCCUUUUUAAAAUCAAUAUUUUCCAUAAAAGAUGAAUUAAAAACCGGAAAACCAGUUCUUGCAAGAUAAUGAACUGGAUCGAUCUUAGGGAAUGAAAAUUGAAUUCUUUG
Nymphaea colorata (pocket water lily) is the source of this 2103-nucleotide RNA transcript. It is a transcript of the gene named zeaxanthin epoxidase, chloroplastic-like, with no coding region annotated. The transcript has 11 exons. The record is from RefSeq and is a predicted model, not a curated record. Lineage: Eukaryota; Viridiplantae; Streptophyta; Magnoliopsida; Nymphaeales; Nymphaeaceae.